GCCCCUGUGUUGGAAUUGGUAGACAUGACAGAUUCAGAUUCUGUUGCCGAAAGGUGUGAGAGUUCAAGUCUCUCUGGGGGCACCA
RNAcentral lists this transfer RNA (85 nucleotides) under Pseudomonas syringae pv. actinidiae. RNAcentral describes it as "tRNA-Leu". It matches the Rfam family "tRNA". From Rfam's summary of the family: Transfer RNA (tRNA) molecules are approximately 80 nucleotides in length. Their secondary structure includes four short double-helical elements and three loops (D, anti-codon, and T loops). Lineage: Bacteria; Pseudomonadati; Pseudomonadota; Gammaproteobacteria; Pseudomonadales; Pseudomonadaceae. The record is from RNAcentral.